RNAcentral lists this ribosomal RNA (529 nucleotides) under Enterococcus faecalis. RNAcentral describes it as "bacterial SSU rRNA". It matches the Rfam family "Bacterial small subunit ribosomal RNA", at positions 1003 to 1533 of the family's 1533-position model. The record is from RNAcentral. Lineage: Bacteria; Bacillati; Bacillota; Bacilli; Lactobacillales; Enterococcaceae.
GAGACAGAGCUUUCCCUUCGGGGACAAAGUGACAGGUGGUGCAUGGUUGUCGUCAGCUCGUGUCGUGAGAUGUUGGGUUAAGUCCCGCAACGAGCGCAACCCUUGAUUUUAGUUGCCAGCAUUUAGUUGGGCACUCUAAAGUGACUGCCGGUGCAAGCCGGAGGAAGGUGGGGAUGACGUCAAAUCAUCAUGCCCCUUAUGACCUGGGCUACACACGUGCUACAAUGGAUAGUACAAAGGGUCGCGAAGCCGCGAGGUGGAGCUAAUCCCAUAAAACUAUUCUCAGUUCGGAUUGUAGGCUGCAACUCGCCUACAUGAAGCCGGAAUCGCUAGUAAUCGUGGAUCAGCAUGCCACGGUGAAUACGUUCCCGGGCCUUGUACACACCGCCCGUCACACCACGAGAGUUUGUAACACCCGAAGUCGGUAGGGUAACCUUUAUGGAGCCAGCCGCCGAAGGUGGGACAGAUAAUUGGGGUGAAGUCGUAACAAGGUAGCCGUAUCGGAAGGUGCGGCUGGAUCACCUCCUUU